This 495-nucleotide ribosomal RNA is filed under the name uncultured bacterium. Its description in RNAcentral is "partial 16S ribosomal RNA". It matches the Rfam family "Bacterial small subunit ribosomal RNA", at positions 28 to 507 of the family's 1533-position model. The record is from RNAcentral.
GACGAACGCUGGCGGCGUGCCUAAUACAUGCAAGUAGAACGCUGAAGGAGGAGCUUGCUCUUCUGGAUGAGUUGCGAACGGGUGAGUAACGCGUAGGUAACCUGCCUGGUAGCGGGGGAUAACUAUUGGAAACGAUAGCUAAUACCGCAUAACAGUAGAUGUUGCAUGACAUUUGCUUAAAAGGUGCAAUUGCAUCACUACCAGAUGGACCUGCUUUGUAUUAGCUAGUUGGUGGGGUAACGGCUCACCAAGGCGACGAUACAUAGCCGACCUGAGAGGGGGAUCGGCCACACUGGGACUGGGGCAACGCCCAGACUCCUACGGGAGGCAGCAGUAGGGGAUCUUCGGCAAUGGACGGAAGUCUGACCGAGCAACGCCGCGUGAGUGAAGAAGGUUUUCGGAUCGUAAAGCUCUGUUGUAAGAGAAGAACGAGUGUGAGAGUGGAAAGUUCACACUGUGACGGUAUCUUACCAGAAAGGGACGGCUAACUACGUG